GGGUCGAUAGCUCAGCGGUAGAGCAUUGGAUUGCAGAUCCAAUUGUCGGGAGUUCGAUCCUCCCUCGGCCCU
Non-coding RNA from Arachnomyces sp. PD_36, 72 nucleotides. NCBI's taxonomy places the organism in Eukaryota, Fungi, Ascomycota, Eurotiomycetes, Onygenales, Arachnomycetaceae. The record is from the annotation of a GenBank genome assembly.